UACGUAGGGUGCAAGCGUUGUUCGGAAUUAUUGGGCGUAAAGCGCGUGUAGGCGGCUUUGCAAGUCGGGUGUGAAAGCCCUCGGCUCAACCGAGGAAGUGCGCCCGAAACUGCAGAGCUUGAGUACCGGAGAGGAUGGCGGAAUUCCCCAAGUAGAGGUGAAAUUCGUAGAUAUGGGGAGGAACACCGGUGGCGAAGGCGGCCAUCUGGACGGAUACUGACGCUGAGACGCGAAAGCGUGGGGAGCAAACAGG
Molecule: ribosomal RNA, 253 nt
Filed under: uncultured bacterium
Lineage: Bacteria
Description: partial 16S ribosomal RNA
Rfam family: Bacterial small subunit ribosomal RNA
Source: RNAcentral